This 248-nucleotide long non-coding RNA is filed under the name Mustela putorius furo (domestic ferret). Its description in RNAcentral is "lncRNA (ENSMPUG00000028849.1)". The record is from RNAcentral. Lineage: Eukaryota; Metazoa; Chordata; Mammalia; Carnivora; Mustelidae.
GAGAGAAUUUGUUGCUAACAGACCUGCUUUACAGGUUGGUUGUUUUUUUGUUUGUUUGUUUGUUUGUUUUUAGGUGAAAAGAAAUGGCUUUAAAUGGUGACUUCAAUCCAACGAAAGAAAUAAAGAGCACUUCUAUAGUUUUGUAUGUUGAGCCCUGGUAUACAUGAAAUGAAGAGGUGAACCAUAGAUUUAUCAUAUGACCUGACCUGUCAAUUCCAUUUGUAAGUAUCUACCUGAAUGAAAGGAAA